GAGUUUGAUCUUGGCUCAGGAUGAACGCUGGCGGCGUGCUUAACACAUGCAAGUCGAACGAAGCGCCUUAUUUGAUUUUCUUCGGAACUGAAGAUUUGGUGACUGAGUGGCGGACGGGUGAGUAACGCGUGGGUAACCUGCCCUGUACAGGGGGAUAACAAUCAGAAAUGACUGCUAAUACCGCAUAAGACCACAGCACCGCAUGGUGCAGGGGUAAAAACUCCGGUGGUACAGGAUGGACCCGCGUCUGAUUAGCUGGUUGGUGAGGUAGCGGCUCACCAAGGCGACGAUCAGUAGCCGGCUUGAGAGAGUGAACGGCCACAUUGGGACUGAGACACGGCCCAAACUCCUACGGGAGGCAGCAGUGGGGAAUAUUGCACAAUGGGGGAAACCCUGAUGCAGCAACGCCGCGUGAGUGAAGAAGUAUUUCGGUAUGUAAAGCUCUAUCAGCAGGGAAGAAAGUGACGGUACCUGACUAAG
This 480-nucleotide ribosomal RNA is filed under the name uncultured microorganism. RNAcentral's name for it is "bacterial SSU rRNA". It matches the Rfam family "Bacterial small subunit ribosomal RNA", at positions 9 to 487 of the family's 1533-position model. The record is from RNAcentral.